AAGGUCCUAGCUUAAUUAAAGCGUCCGGGUUGCAUUUGGGAGAUGCAGGGUAGUAUCCUGCGGACUUUA
RNAcentral lists this transfer RNA (69 nucleotides) under Chloebia gouldiae (Gouldian finch). RNAcentral describes it as "Erythrura gouldiae (Gouldian finch) tRNA-Ala". It matches the Rfam family "tRNA". From Rfam's summary of the family: Transfer RNA (tRNA) molecules are approximately 80 nucleotides in length. Their secondary structure includes four short double-helical elements and three loops (D, anti-codon, and T loops). Lineage: Eukaryota; Metazoa; Chordata; Aves; Passeriformes; Passeridae. The record is from RNAcentral.